GCCAGGCACGGUGGCACAUGCCUAUAGUCUCAGCUACUCAGGAGACUGAGACAGAAGGAUCACUUGAGUCCAGGAGUUCUGGGCUGUAGUAUGCCAUGACAAUUGGGUGUCCGCACUAAGUUUGGCAUCAACAUGGUACCUCCCAGGAACAAGGGACCACUAGGUUGCCUAAGAAGGGGUGAACUGCCCAGGUUAGAAACAGCAGGUCAAAGCUCCCAUGCUGAUCAGUAGUGGCAUCACACCUGUGAAUAGCCACUGCACUCCAGCCUGGGCAACAUAGUGAGACCCCAAUCUCU
Molecule: non-coding RNA, 296 nt
Organism: Otolemur garnettii (small-eared galago)
Lineage: Eukaryota; Metazoa; Chordata; Mammalia; Primates; Galagidae
Source: Rfam